GGAACCUCCUCUGAGACAUUAGAUUUAAACUGGAGAGAAACCAAGGAAGAAAUCAGAGUUUGUCAGGGUAUGAGAAAACGUGUGCCAGAAGGAAACCUGAAGGAACCAUGCUCCUUCUCCCACCACCCAAGGUCCAUCUCCAGAGAUAACCACAUUGCUAUGGUCCACAUUCUAGCUUACAAUUGUCUUUUUUUUUCCUGCUUUUUUCUUCCCCAUCCCCCCAGUACAUAAUUGUAUAUUUUAGUCAUGGGUCCUUCUAGUUCUGGCAUGUGGGAUGCCACCUCAGCAUGGCCUCCGGAGUAGUGCCAUGUCCAUGCCCAGGAUCUCAAUCAGUGUGAACCUAGACACUCGGCCAUGGGGCCGGCCCCUAGCUUAGUAUGUUUUGAGGGCCCAGGAAAUAAUAAAUCCUCCUUAGAGCUCUGUGUUCUCCACCAAUCCCUACAUCUCCUGUUGGAGAGGAGUCUAAUGAAAGAUCCCCCCAUUUUGGCCCAUGAUUGUUUACUGUUUACAAUCUGAAAAAACCAGCGGGCACAGUAAGUAAUGUGGUUAGAGUGUGGUGGUGUAGAUAGAUGAAACAACAGGCAUUGAGUAAGUGUCUUAGUCAAUCUUAGGCGCAAAUCAGAGAAGAUAUGAAAAAUUGUUUCUUAAGAUUUGUCAAGAGAAUUCACAUAAAUGUUAGCACUAAUAUGAGAAUUUCAUUAUGUAUCACAGAAUUAUGUUGACUGCAACAACAAUAAUAGAACAUAACCAUGGUUAUCAUCAGUAUGUUCAGUGUAAUUAAAAUGAUAUCUACAGCUAUGUAACUGCAUGUCUUUCUGUUUAGAUACCACUGCAUAGAUACAACACUGUAAUACAUCUGAGACAAGAAGGAACAACACAGAAAAAGACCCUUCCUGCCUUCAAGACGACUUACUCUCGUUGGGCACAGGGCUGGAUGAGGAGGGAUACUCAAUGACAGUAUUAUGCGAUAACAAAGAAGGUAAAGGAAAAAAUGCAAUUUGUACAAAAUGUGGAGGAUUUCAUUGCACUUGAAAAGCAUCAUGAGUUUAUUUGUUGUUAGAACAAAUUUUAUUCCUAUCCAAGAAACUGAAACUGUCAAUAUGGCUCAGCAAUUAUGUCUAUAUAAUUUUCAGUUCCGGUCUCAUAGAUAUGAGUGAGUCAGAAAGAGUUUACAGGCCAAUAUUAGCUUACUCUUCUGUGGGUUACAAACAAUGCCAAAAUAGCUGUGCUUUAAUAGGAAAAACAUCGACUUCCCAGCACCCUACAUGUCUCACAUCAGUUAACGUGUGAAGAUUGGUGAGCUCUGCUGUCCUAUCUGUCAGGGUCUCAUGUUAUGGAGCUUCCACUGUCUUGUAGCUACAACAUCUGAAACAUGUAGUCAGAACAAGAACACAGUAGAUAAUAGGACACAAAAGUAUGUAUUGGAAAUGUAAAAUGUUUAGGUCUGCUUUUGAUGGAUGGGUGAGAAAGGACCAAAUGUUUCCCAAAGGAAGUGGAGAAAAGUGGACAAAUUUUGGAGGUGUGAGUGUUACUCAGUGGAAGAUUAUUCGGGAGCAGCACCAUCUAUAAACCACUAUGUUCUCACCUGCCUCUUACUUGCUGAGUAACGUGACACUGACACAGUUUUACUAUGAUUAGUCUCUGGAAACCUUCCUCUUCUGGCCUGUCUGAAUGAAGACCAGAAACCUGUAAUUAACUGAUGGACUCGUGGAAGUAUUUUCUCAAUAGGCUCCCACUGAAGAAUCUUUUUUAAUUUUAUUUUUACAAUUCACAAUGACAGCCACUAAUACUCACUGUGCCAGCUUAAUUUUAGAAUGUUUAUAACUGACUAUUUUCCUCAUCACACUCUGUGUUACAAGAGGCAGGUGCCAAACCUUUCUGGAUCAUUAUUUUAUUCCUAGUGACUUGCUUAGGAUCUGAAUAUAGGAUUAGCUUAAAUAAUAACAAUAAGAUUGAACUCUGAGUAUUCAGGCAAACUGUAGAAUGUAUCAUUGUAAUUCACAUUCUUCUUAUUCAAAUAUUCUUGCUAUACUAAACUAGGAGAGGAGUAAGAUAGUGCAGGCCCUAGAGCAUACUGAAGCAUUACUCUCCACUAGUCCUACCUAGUGGUCUCUCAUUGUUAUUGUUUUAACGUUUCUAUUCCGCUUCCUUUGUUUAAUUUCCCCUUCUAAGAAUUUAACCUUCAUUUUUCACCCAGCUCCUGCGGGGGAACUCCUCUUGGUGAGCAGGGCUUUGCCUUGGUGAGUGAAUUUUUACCACACAUGCGCCUGAUCUCUACCAAGUCAGGACUCAUCCACUUUGGCUAAAGGUGUGUAGGGUAGAUUCUGAGGGCAAAGAACAGUAGUCUUUGGGAGAAACAGAUUGAAUGUGUUUGGGUGAGGUUAAUUUUGGUUCUGAAGUUUCUCUGGAUUAAAAAAGGAGCCGUAUUUUAGCUUUUCUGCUAAAGUGGCAGAAGAGGGGACAUUGAUUCUGAGAGAGGAGCAAGCUUUAAGAAAGAGAAGUUUAAAAAAGUAAAGAUCCUUGUUUGUUUCUAGGAGGGACCACUAUUUCUCCAGGCUGUUGCCUUUAUCUUCUUCUUAUUCUGUAGCUUUGAUUUUCUACCCUGUGAAGAUGAACCAGAAUAGUUUAUUUCAGAAGCAGAGAAUUCCUUCCUCCUUCCCUCCAGAGAAGCCUGUGAGAUGGAACCCUGUUUUCCCUCUUCACAAAAGCAUAAGCUCUUGGUGAGAGCCCGCAGAGGGGAGAGCCCUUAUGUGGAUUCAUGAUGGAGAGAAGAGAUCUUAGGGGCUCUGCCAGGAUAAGACCUUCUUGAAGAUAAUCUUUUGUGCUACUAGUCCUGGUCUCUGGAUGCCAAGAACAGGUCCACCUUCCCAUUGACAGUUCCUGAAAGAGUAACAGGAGAAGUUUCAAGGAUAUUGGAUAAACACCUGACAGGACUUUUUAUCUGCAUUGUGGAGACCAUUUCAUUUUUCUUAUCUAAACUGUACAGAUACAGAAAGCCUCUGGGCAGACCAUCUGGAUAGAGUGAGAUAAGGAAACUCAGGAUCUAGUUGUUCCUUACCUUACUGUAGAACUCCUACAUUGCACCGUCUCCAAAGGAGAGCAUACAUUUUGUCUCUGUGUCUGUCUGUUGUCUGUCUGUCUGCAUUAGGUGGGAGGUUUUUUUUUUUAAUGAUGUAAAGCGUCUUCAAUGAUAGAAUGGAGAAUGGAUGAAUAAAGGAAAAAUAAGCACUUGUCUUAUUUUCUAGAGGUUCCAUGAAAAAAUGUACCACAAACACAUGGCUUAAAUAAAAUUUAUUUUCUCACAAUUCUGGAGGCUAAAAAUAUAAGAUGAAAGGUAUUGGCAGGAUCGGUUCUUUCUGAGGGUUUCAUAGGAAGGAUCUGUUCCAUGUCUUUUUGCUAGCUUCUGGAAGUUUGCUGGAAAUAUUUGGUGUUCCUCUAUUUGUAGAUGCAUCACCCUGAUCUCUGCUUUUAUCUUCACAUGGUUUCUCCAUGUGUGCAUGUCUGUCUCUGUCCAAAUAUCAACUUUUUAUAAAGACACAGUCAUGCUAAAUUUAGACCCACCUUAAUGACUUCAUUUUAACGUGAUCAUCUGCAAAGACAAGAUUUCCAAUUAAAGUUUCAUUCACAUAUAUUUGGGAUUAGAACUUCAACAUCUUUUUUGGGGAAGAGAAUUCAACUGUAAUAGCUCUCAAUGUGUUUGUAACAAGAAACUUGUACAGAAGAGAGAUCUCUGUGAGCACCAUGGAGAAAAACUCCAUUUCUUCUGUAAGGAUGACAAGAAGUCCAUUUGUAGGCUUUGUGUAGUUGUCUCUAGAGCACCAGGGUCACCAAAUAUUCUUUAUGGAGGAGGCGGUCAUGGAAAAGCAGAUGGGCUCCAGGGUGGAGAAAGAUAGGGCAGAAUGUUGUCUAAAGUGAAACCGUCACUUUUUUUAUCCGACUGAGCCCUGCAAUCUUUCCAUACCCCUUGCUCGGCUCUGAGGCAUGAAGGACAUUUCUGUGCAUUCAUCCAUUUGCUUCAAAAAUAAGCCUAAACUAGAAACUCAGCACAGAGAAUUUGGAUGAGUGGAGAAUUGCUUCCCAAAGUAAGUUCUGAUUUUCCCCCUGACCAGAAGGUUUUUUUGGGAACAUGGGUGGUUGGAUGUGGGAAAAGCAUCAAUGAGGAGAAAGGACUUUCCUGGCUCCAUGAUCAGUUCUUCUAGGGAAGAGAGACACAGGCUAUUCCUGAUGAAGGUUCAUAACUUGCAUCUCCCUGGGUUAAGGAAUACAUUCACCCCCUCAGAUUUUUGUCUACAUCUUAGAUUCUAAAUGCUGGGCUCAUUUCUGUAAACUUUAGUCUCUUCUGAGCUGGGCUUGAUUCCUUCUCCAUUUGUCCAGGUGCUGAGAAAGCUCAUAACUUGACUCUGAUGAUUCCUUUCUCACAACAGAAGCUCCAGGAAGCUCUGAAGAAGCUGAGGAAGCUGAGGAGUUGGAAGCUGACGUCAGAAAAGAGAGCUACUGGAAGGCAGGAAGAGGUUUUUCCUGAGGGAGUCUGGAGACAGGAAACUGGGCAGCACCUUGGUCCAAUCACACGGAGUCCCAUUUUCUUUGUUACCUCAGAAUUAAUGAGUCAGAAAGACAUUUGAUUAGUCUUCAUUUCAUUCCUUAUUUGUUGAGGGUUCAGGGCUAGAUAGUAGAUAUAUCACAAGUGAAUCCAAAUAUUUGGAAGCAAAGGCAUAGAGGGAAGCAAUAUAAAAAUGACUCGUGAAUCCCAUGUCCCAUUUCCAUCAUCAACUUUGAGGCUCGGAUACUCCCAGAACACACGUUGAGAAAGGCCCAGCUUUCCUUGUUUAGGAAGUGUGGGUGGAGGGGUUUAAUGCACAGUGUAGCAUGAUCAUCCAGGACAGGUCUCUGCCAUCCAAGCCUCCUCCAGGUAUCAGUUUGUGUCUCAGGAUGGGCCUUGAUGAAGUAGACUUGAAUAUAUUGCUUUGGGAGGAGCUCAAGGGGAGACAGGAGGAAAAAUGUCUUUCCUAGGAAACGCUCACCAAUUUCACCUCCUAUCCCUUUGAAAACUCCCUGAGGAAAGUAGUUCUUGUCUUGGCUCCCAGGCGCAUACGAAGUAGGCUGUCAGCCAGAAAGACUGAAGGCCUCUUUCUCUUUUCAUCCCCAAAGCAUCAUAUGCAGACUGAGAGAGGAUUCUGAAAGGGUUUAAUGUAAUGAGAGGCAUCCUGGACAGUCUGAAGCAAAGGAGCUGCAAAACACGGAGGAAGAUGAGGUGACUCUGCUGGAUAAUUUGGUAGCAGCUAAAGACCAGUCGGUCCAGCAGAGUCAGUACAUGAGAGACUUCAUGUCAUAUCUGGAGCCUCAGAUGUAGAGAUCAUCAAUAGACACAACACAGGUAAGACUCAGGAUGGAGGUCCUACCCGUGACAUUCCAGGGAAAACACAGAGACUAGCUUUUUUUCCCUUCUGGGUCCAUGAACUUUCCUCCUCCUAGUGACGUUAAAAAGUUCCUUUGGCCCUCCAUUGCCUCUUCUGUGUCAUUUGUUUCAAGAGUCAUAGGAGUAAUUCAAUGUACAAAUGGUAAGGAAAAAUUCUAUCAUUAACUUAUCAAAGGCUGUGCAAUUAUUUGGAGAAAUGAUUGUUCAUAGGCUCCUAUUAGCAUUUGUGAGGACUCUCCUCACUAAGCUUAGUUAUAAAUAAGCAAACAACAUGAAUUUUUGCUUAUGUUUGAUUUUUGUUGUUGUUGAGGAGGGAAAAUGUAAGCCUAGACUGUGUAAUACCUGAGUGAGGGAUGUACAUGUAUGAAUAAGUGUGAGUGCUUUGUGUGUGUGUGUGUUUGUUGGGGCAAGAAUGUGGGGGCAAACGUAUAGAGACUUUUUGAAGGAAUUGUACCUACAUGAAUGUUAAAAUUUUUUCUGUGGCAUUAUCAUUGUGACUGUGAUCUUAAGCUGUGAAUUACGUUGAGAGAUUCAGGAAAUUUCAAGUUUUCUCUGCUUGACUUUUUGCCAUUCUCCUUUGCCAGCUGAACAAGAAUUUCUUUCUUUAACUUUUGCUGCAAUACUUGGUAAUUAAUUUUCAUCUGCUGAGUCUUUACCUCUGCCUUAAAAAAAAGAAAACUCUUCAUAUUUCUUGAGGAAUAAUUUACAUAUCGUGAAGUUCAGCUAUGUUAAGUGUUCAACAAGGAUCUUUAGUAAAUAUAUUGAGUUGUUAAACCAUGAACAAAUUUAGUUCAACAUUUCUUAAACAGACUCUCCCUUCCUCCACCAAAUUAUUUUGGCACCUCUGUCAAAAAUCAGUUUACUCUAAAUGUAAGUAUUUAUAUCUGGAUUAUCAAUCUGUUACAUGGAUCUAUAUGUCUAUUCUUUCACUAAUAUUUUAAACUUUUGAUUACUGUGGCUCCAUAAAAAAUUUUGAGAUUGGUUAGCAUAAGUCUUACAACUAGGUUCUUAUUUUUCAAAAUUGUUUGAAAAUAAUUUGAAGGAGUUAUAUACAAUUCUAUUUCAAAACAAUUCUAUUCUAAGUCAGUUGUUCUCUGUAGGGACAGUUUUAACCAUGCCUACCCCAGAGAACAUUUGGAGAAUGUUACUGACAUCUAGUGGGUAGAAGCCAGAGAUGCUGCUAAUUCUCCUACAAUGCACUUGGCCAACUCCAUGACAAAAAGUUAUCUGUGCCAGAAUACCAGUAGUGCCAAAGUUGAGAAAUUCUGCCCUGGGUUCUUUGACUUUUCCAUGGACAUUUUGAGAUAUUUUGUUAAUUUUUGUUUAAAAGCCUAUUGGAUUUUGAUAGGCAUUGUGUGGAAUUUAAAGAACAAUUUGAGGAAUAUUGUCAUCUUUACAAUACAAAAUCUCUCCAUUAUUUAGUUUCUCUUUAAACUUUAUCAGCAGUAUUUUGUUUCCAGCACAGAAGUCUUUUAUUUAUUUUCUUCAAUUUUUGAGUUGUUUCUUUUAUAAGUAAACAUCAAUUUCUUGUUGGAUUUUUUCAUUACUACUAAUCAAAAAUACACUAGAUUUUUAUAUUGAUCUUGUAUUUCACCAUAUUCCUAAACACUUUUGUUAGUUUUAGUCAUUUAUGUGUGUGUGUGUGUGUGUGUGUGUGCGUGCAUGUAUUCCUUGAGAUUUUCUACAUACUAGAUCAUGUCGUAUGUAAAUAAAUCCAAUUUUAUUUAUUUUCCAGGCUGGGCAUUUUAAUUUCUUUUACUUCCUCCAUUUUUUUCUUCUGUUUUUCAGCUGUUUCUUAUCUGAUCUAAUAAAUUAUUCUUAUUUUAUUCUCUUCAACAUUCUUUAUUUCAUGUUUAUGAAUGUGGCAUUUUUCCCUUUCAGAACUAGAUAGCCAGAAGUAAUACUCAGUUGUCCAGGGAAAACCAAGUAAUAACUGGGAAUGACACUGACUCAGGAAAACUAUAAGCUCAGAAAUAACAUACCACUGUGAUCAUUCAGUUCACCUGAUCAGUUAUUGCUGGAGCCAGAUAGAUUACUGGGUAUUUCAUUUAUUUGAUUUGCCACAAUCUGCUAUCAUCUUUUUCUAAUCAAGCCUGCUUGAUUUUGUAUUUGGUCAUUUGAAAUAAACACAAUGCUGAGUAAUUUGUGAAUGAUUCCCUGUAUUUGUUGGGCUGCAAAUGGAAGACGGAAGCGAGGCAGCUCUCACACAAUCACUUGUUGCACAGUGGGACUGUUGACUUUGCAUGUGGCUAUUUUGUUUAGCCUUUAGUAAUGACCCAUAGGACUGAGGAGUUUCAGGUAAAGUUGCUAAGAAAGGCUCAUUUGCUUUGUAACAAAGUCCAGCUUCUCUAUUCUCAGCUAAAGUUAGUUCCAGCAAAGUCAGAGUGGAUGAAAGUAAAGCGUGAGUUAUGACUGGGACUAAUGAAGAGCCAGAGACUGAGACAGCAGUCAUACAAAGGUCAAAUGGUAAACUUCCUACCUGAGAUAGGGCACAAGAAUAUCACUAUUAAUGCCUAUUCAUUGGAAUGCAGAUUAGGGAAGGGGCCCAAUAAACUGUGUUGAAUUAACUCUAGGAUAAUGUCCUCAUGCUAACAAAUAAGCUAAACUCUUAGAUACAAAUCUGUAGAACUGGAAGAGAUCUCUAGUUUUGUUAUGAGCUCCUAUAAUUGGCCAUAAAAAAGGCAAAAUCAUACAAAAUUUUAAGGAAGUAGUUGGGAAAAAU
This 8138-nucleotide long non-coding RNA is filed under the name Equus asinus (donkey). Its description in RNAcentral is "lncRNA (ENSEASG00005030840.1)". Lineage: Eukaryota; Metazoa; Chordata; Mammalia; Perissodactyla; Equidae. The record is from RNAcentral.